CUCCUUAUGGUGAAGAUAAGAUCCGAAUAUGCUUGGAAGAAAUGCGAGUAUUAUAUGAUGCCAAUCAUCGUGAUGUAGCCCUUGUAUCUAACUCUUCGUCUGGGCCAUCAUCAUCAUCAUAUGAAA
RNAcentral lists this microRNA precursor (126 nucleotides) under Schistosoma mansoni. RNAcentral's name for it is "microRNA sma-mir-8426 precursor". The record is from miRBase by way of RNAcentral. Lineage: Eukaryota; Metazoa; Platyhelminthes; Trematoda; Strigeidida; Schistosomatidae.